AGGGGAGUCGAUGAACGGUCUCCAAAACCGUGGGCUGCGGGUUCAAGUCCUGUCUCCCCUGCCA
RNAcentral lists this transfer RNA (64 nucleotides) under Thermoanaerobacter sp. YS13. RNAcentral describes it as "tRNA-Leu". It matches the Rfam family "tRNA". Rfam says of the family: Transfer RNA (tRNA) molecules are approximately 80 nucleotides in length. Their secondary structure includes four short double-helical elements and three loops (D, anti-codon, and T loops). The record is from RNAcentral. Lineage: Bacteria; Bacillati; Bacillota; Clostridia; Thermoanaerobacterales; Thermoanaerobacteraceae.